AAAACAUCUUGUGCCAUCUGAGUUUCAAAUUUAUAUAUGUCAAUGUUGGCAAAUGCCAACGGGCAUGCACUUUCGAUUCUUCUGGUACGUGUACAUAUGACCUUGGAGCCUUAAUUAACCAUUCCUCCCUAACUCGGUGCUUUGUCACGGUGCCGAAGCAACGCUGCUGCUCUGCCUUGCAAUUAAUAACCAAACCUAAAAUUAGUAGUAUACGAGAGAUGCGCAUACGUCAUACGAUCAAUUUUUCCUGCGUAAUCCCGCUCGCGGCGAACAGGGCGGCAGGUGCAGGCGACACGGAUCAAGCGUGAGCAGGCGACCGCACUGCCGGACGAGGCGACGGCAAUCGUCCGUGACAAAAUGAAAUGCAUAUACCACAGGACCACCCACAGCAGAAAAAGGUAUGUCGCGGCAGCCACAUCAGGUGUCUGACGGCGACCGCCGAGCUGAUUUACGACGAACUCCAGACUCCCGUGGCCUCAUCUGGAACAGGACACCGUCACCGUCGAUUGGGCCUGCGGAUGAUUGGCGUAUUCCAAGGAUAGUCUUGUUUCAAGCCGGCCACCGGCUCAUCUGGGAAUAGAGAGAUGACAAUGGGUGGUGUAACACGGGUGGAGCAAAUACCCAUCCGUAUUAUAUAAGUGGGAGUUUCUACUAUAUAAUUCUUCUAUUUUUUUUAUUUAUCGUCUUUUUACUUUAAAAAUAAACUAGCGGACCACAAAUAUUUGAAAACAGAUGUAACAUUGUAUUUAAGUGGGAGUUUAUCCUUUCGUGCGUCGUCUUCUCCAACGAGCGCAGCAAACAAAAGUCCAAACAUAAGUGUGGUGCUAGGGUUCGAACCGUCGCCCACUCCCCUCCCACGGCCAAGUUCUAACAUGAGUGUGGUGUCGGGUCACGUUACACUACCGUCAGCGAGCGCUGCACACAAUGUCGUUCUUAGACAACCUAUGCACGACGUGACU
Molecule: long non-coding RNA, 959 nt
Filed under: Zea mays
Lineage: Eukaryota; Viridiplantae; Streptophyta; Magnoliopsida; Poales; Poaceae
Description: long non-coding RNA (ZMAY_LNC004650)
Source: RNAcentral